AAUCGAACCCGGAGAUAGCUGGUUCUCCUCGAAAUAGCUUUAGGGCUAGCCUCGUGUUAACCUUGUGGAGGUAGAGCACUGAAUAUCCUAGGGGGCGUCAAAGUCUACCGAAGAUUAUCAAACUCCGAAUGCCAUAAAGGUGAUGCACGGGAGUCAGACUGCACGAGAUAAGUUGGGUGGUCAAAAGGGAAAGAGCCCAGACCUACAGCUAAGGUCCCAAAGUGCGUGUUAAGUGGAAAAGGAUGUGGGAUUUCGAAGACAACUAGGAUGUUGGCUCAGAAGCAGCCAUACAUUCAAAGAGUGCGUAAUAGCUCACUAGUCGAGAGGUCCUGCGCCGAAAAUGUCCGGGGCUGAAACACGACACCGAAGCUUAGGAAUGUAGAAAUACAUUGGUAGAGGAGCAUUGUUAGCGCAGCGAAGCUGUACCGAUAAGGAGCAGUGGAGUGCUAAGAAGAGAGAAUGCCGGAAUGAGUAGCGAGAGGAAGGUGAGAAUCCUUCCGGCCGAAUAUCCAAGGUUUCCAGAGUAAAGCUGAUCUGCUCUGGGUAAGUCGGGGCCUAAGGCGAGGUCGAAAGACGUAGUCGAUGGAUAACAGGUGGAGAUUCCUGUACUAUGUGUACCCAGAAAUGUGGGGACGCAUGUGGAGAGCACGAGCCGGGAAAGAGAAGACCGGUACAAGCGGGGUAGGAGUAAGGACAGCAAAUCUUCCUUACAAUCCGAAGACGUAAUGUGGACCGAACCAAAGUAGGGAAGCGUGUGAGCCAUGUGCCAAGAAAAGCCGCUAUUGUGAUACACAUACCCGUACCGUAAACCGACACAGGUGGAUGAGGAGAGAAUCCUAAGGCCGACGGAAGAAGCAUUGUUAAGGAACUCGGCAAAAUGACCCCGUAACUUCGGGAGAAGGGGUGCCCUGUGAAAGCAGGGCCGCAGAGAAUAGGCUCAAGCAACUGUUUAGCAAAAACACAGGUCUAUGCGAAACCGAAAGGUGAGGUAUAUGGGCUGACGCCUGCCCGGUGCUGGAAGGUUAAGAGGAGAGGUUAGCGCAAGCGAAGCUUUGAAUUUAAGCCCCAGUAAACGGCGGCCGUAACUAUAACGGUCCUAAGGUAGCGAAAUUCCUUGUCGGGUAAGUUCCGACCCGCACGAAAGGCGUAAUGAUUUGAGCACUGUCUCGACAAUGCAUCCGGUGAAAUUGAAGUACCAGUGAAGAUGCUGGUUACCUGCGCCAGGACGGAAAGACCCCAUGGAGCUUUACUCCAGCUUGAUACUGGGAUUCGAUACUGUAUGUACAGGAUAGGUGGGAGACGUUGAGCAUAGAACGCCAGUUUUAUGUGAGUCGCUGUUGGGAUACCACCCUUGCAGUAUUGGAUUUCUAACCUGCACCCAUGACCUGGGUGGGGGACAAUGUCUGGCGGGGAGUUUGACUGGGGCGGUCGCCUCCGAAAGGGUAUCGGAGGCGCUCAAAGGUUCCCUCAGAAUGGUUGGAAACCAUUCGAAGAGUGCAAAGGCAGAAGGGAGCUUGACUGCGACACCGACGGGUGGAGCAGGUACGAAAGUAGGACUUAGUGAUCCGGUGGUAUAAAGUGGGAUUGCCAUCGCUCAACGGAUAAAAGCUACCCUGGGGAUAACAGGCUUAUCACUCCCAAGAGUUCACAUCGACGGAGUGGUUUGGCACCUCGAUGUCGGCUCAUCGCAUCCUGGGGCUGUAGUAGGUCCCAAGGGUUGGGCUGUUCGCCCAUUAAAGCGGCACGCGAGCUGGGUUCAGAACGUCGUGAGACAGUUCGGUCCAUAUCCGGUAUACGCGCAAGAGAUUUGAACGGAGUCUUCCUUAGUACGAGAGGACCGGGAAGAGGGGACCUCCAGUGUACGGGUUAUUCUGCCAAGAGUAAACGCCCGGUAGCUGUGUUCCAAGCGGAUAAGUGCUGAAAGCAUAUAAGUACGAAGCCCACCGUAAGAUGAGAUCUCUCAUAGCAUAAGCUAGUAAGUCCCGUUGCAGAUUACAACGUUGAUAGGUCGCAGGUGUAAGAGUGGCAACAUUUUCAGCCGAGCGAUACUAAUAGGACGAGGGCUUUCCUU
RNAcentral lists this ribosomal RNA (2071 nucleotides) under human gut metagenome. Its description in RNAcentral is "bacterial LSU rRNA". It matches the Rfam family "Bacterial large subunit ribosomal RNA", at positions 831 to 2925 of the family's 2925-position model. The record is from RNAcentral.